Molecule: ribosomal RNA, 470 nt
Filed under: Bacillus sp. MB353a
Lineage: Bacteria; Bacillati; Bacillota; Bacilli; Caryophanales; Bacillaceae
Description: bacterial SSU rRNA
Rfam family: Bacterial small subunit ribosomal RNA
Source: RNAcentral
AGACACGUGCCGGACAACGGAGUGGGGAAGCAUAAGGGAAUGUGACUAAAUGGAAGGAAAUCAUACGGAACAGAGCAGCGUGAGGUAGGUAGGAUUGAGGUGCGUAAAACUCUGUUGUUAGGGAAGAACAAGUGCUAGUUGAAUAAGCUGGACACUUGACGGUACCUGACCGGAACGCUACGGCUAACUACGUGCGAGCAGCCGCAGUAAUCCGUAGGUGGCAAGCGUUAUCCGGAAUUAUUGGGCGUAUAGCGCGCGCAGGUGGUGUCUUAAGGCUGAUGUGAAAGCCAAGGUUGCAACCGUGGAGGGUAAUUGGAAACUGGGAGUCGUGAGUGCAGAAGAGGAAAAUGCAAUUCAAUGUGUAGCGGUGAAAUGCGAGGUGAAUGGGAGGAAAACCGGGGGUGAAGGCGACUUGCUGGCUAGUAACGGUUACGGAGGCGCGAACUCAGGGUGCGCACAGAGUGUUUGAU